Molecule: ribosomal RNA, 450 nt
Filed under: uncultured Glomeromycotina
Lineage: Eukaryota; Fungi; Glomeromycota
Description: SSU rRNA
Rfam family: Eukaryotic small subunit ribosomal RNA
Source: RNAcentral
AGCAGCCGCGGUAAUUCCAGCUCCAAUAGCGUAUAUUAAAGUUGUUGCAGUUAAAAAGCUCGUAGUUGAAUUUCGGGGUUAGCAGGUUGGUCGUGCCUUCGGUAUGUACUGGCUUUGCUGAUUCCUCCUUCUUGAAGAACUGUGAUGCUAUUAAUUUGGUGUUGCAGGGAAACAGGACUGUUACUUUGAAAAAAUUAGAGUGUUUAAAGCAGGCUAACGCUUGAAUACAUUAGCAUGGAAUAAUGAAAUAGGACGUUUGAUCCUAUUUUGUUGGUUUCUAGGAUUGACGUAAUGAUUAAUAGGGAUAGUUGGGGGCAUUAGUAUUCAAUUGUCAGAGGUGAAAUUCUUGGAUUUAUUGAAGACUAACUACUGCGAAAGCAUUUGCCAAGGAUGUUUUCAUUAAUCAAGAACGAAAGUUAGGGGAUCGAAGACGAUCAGAUACCGUCGUAG